CGAAAUUCUCCUUCGUUUCUCCACCAAAUCGAUCGAGUAAGGCAUCAGAGGUCCAGCCGAUCAGCAGGAGGAACCUUCAAAGGGCCAAAUUAGCUCAGACCAUCUGUCGUAGAAGUGCACAGGAUCCACCACAGGGCCACUCUUAGCCUCCGCGCUUCAAAGUCAGGUAGGGUUUGUAGAAAAAUCCUUGAAAGCCCGUGAACUUUGGAAAAUUGCUCUGAUAUCGAGCUUUA
This is a long non-coding RNA of Prunus dulcis (almond), 233 nucleotides long. RefSeq lists it as uncharacterized. NCBI's taxonomy places the organism in Eukaryota, Viridiplantae, Streptophyta, Magnoliopsida, Rosales, Rosaceae. The record is from RefSeq and is a predicted model, not a curated record. The transcript is spliced from 3 exons.